CCCGCCCGGAGCCGCCGCGUCCUCUGCUCCCCUGGGGCCGGCCCGGGCCGACCCGGCGGUGCCGGGAUGAGGCGGCAACGGGGAGCCGGGCGGGUUCGCCCGACACCCCCGCCCGGGGAGCGUCGUGUCGGGCGGAGGCGCCAGCCCGGGCGGGAACCGGAGGCAGUUUCCCGACGGCUUUUGACGCGGCUCUGAGGGGCUCGGGGGGAACAGGUGUCUCACAGGGUACGCUCCCAGUUGUAAAAGCCUUCCAUGUUUUCUAGCCCUGAUGGAGUUCGGGAAUCCUGGAGAAGACAUGCCAAUAGAUGACAGAGCUGCAUCAAUGAUGAUGCAGUAGAGCUGAAGGGAUUUCGCGCCUUGAAACAGAAAGGAACCAUGAACUACUGAGGGGAAUUAAAAAUGGAGUAAGGGGCAAAUAUUUAAUAAAAGGAUUGUAAAAUAA
Columba livia (rock pigeon) is the source of this 442-nucleotide long non-coding RNA. RefSeq lists it as uncharacterized. The transcript is spliced from 3 exons. The record is from RefSeq and is a predicted model, not a curated record. Lineage: Eukaryota; Metazoa; Chordata; Aves; Columbiformes; Columbidae.